UGGGGAAUUUUGGACAAUGGGGGCAACCCUGAUCCAGCCAUUCCGCGUGAGUGAAGAAGGCCUUCGGGUUGUAAAGCUCUUUCGCAAGGGAAGAAAACUUACUUAUUAAUACUAGGUGAGGCUGACGGUACCUUGAUAAGAAGCACCGGCUAACUACGUGCCAGCAGCCGCGGUAAUACGUAGGGUGCGAGCGUUAAUCGGAAUUACUGGGCGUAAAGCGUGCGCAGGCGGUUUGAAAAGUCAGAUGUGAAAUCCCCGGGCUCAACCUGGGAACUGCGUUUGAAACUCUCAAACUAGAGUAUGGCAGAGGGGGGUAGAAUUCCACGUGUAGCAGUGAAAUGCGUAGAGAUGUGGAGGAAUACCAAUGGCGAAGGCAGCCCCCUGGGUCAAUACUGACGCUCAUGCACGAAAGCGUGGGGAGCAAACAGGAUUAGAUACCCUGGUAGUCCACGCCCUAAACGAUAUCUACUAGUUGUUGGGAGAGUAAAAUCUCUUAGUAACGCAGCUAACGCGUGAAGUAGACCGCCUGGGGAGUACGGUCGCAAGAUUGA
RNAcentral lists this ribosomal RNA (551 nucleotides) under uncultured Methylophilus sp. RNAcentral describes it as "bacterial SSU rRNA". It matches the Rfam family "Bacterial small subunit ribosomal RNA", at positions 355 to 897 of the family's 1533-position model. Lineage: Bacteria; Pseudomonadati; Pseudomonadota; Betaproteobacteria; Nitrosomonadales; Methylophilaceae. The record is from RNAcentral.